This 498-nucleotide ribosomal RNA is filed under the name uncultured bacterium. Its description in RNAcentral is "bacterial SSU rRNA". It matches the Rfam family "Bacterial small subunit ribosomal RNA", at positions 29 to 507 of the family's 1533-position model. The record is from RNAcentral.
AACGAACGCUGGCGGCGUGGAUAAGACAUGCAAGUCGAACGGGAUUUUGCCUGUAGCAAUACAGGUGGGGUCUAGUGGCGUAAGGGUGCGUAACACGUGGGUAAUCUGCCGAGAAGUGGGGGAUAGCUCGUCGAAAGGCGAAUUAAUACCGCAUAUGGUUAGUGGAGGAUCUUCACGACACCAAAGCCGGGGUAACCUGGCGCUUCUUGAUGAACCCGCGGCCUAUCAGCUAGUUGGUGAGGUAACGGCUCACCAAGGCUAUGACGGGUAGCUGGUCUGAGAGGACGACCAGUCACACUGGAACUGAGACACGGUCCAGACACCUACGGGUGGCAGCAGUCGAGAAUUUUUCUCAAUGGGGGAAACCCUGAAGGAGCGACGCCGCGUGGAGGAUGAAGGUCUUCGGAUCGUAAACUCCUGUCAUUUGGGAACAAUUGUUAGCGAUUAACUGUCGUUAACUUGAUAGUACCAGAAGAGGAAGAGACGGCUAACUCUGUG